GAAAGAGAAGGUAGAUAGCAUGGGAGGGGCCAUUAACAAGGCAGAUGUUCUCCAAACAAAUAAAAGCUCUGUAGGAAGGAGAGCUGCUCUGGUCAAUGUUUAAAAAUGCUCCGGGCUCCCCCGGCAUCUCUUCAGUGCAAGGACCCGUCUGACACUACUUAUGCCAGGUCCUGCCUCCCUCGCAGGAGAAGCAGUCUGCAACUUUUGCUGCUCUGGACAACACUUCAUCUCUGAGCAAGCAGAGCUCUGCGGAGUGGAUCUGGGGCGAAGUGGUACCUCGGUGUGUCGUCAUGUCUUGGCUGUAGGAUGAAGGCUCAACGAAGAUGAGGCAGAGCAUGAUCUAAGAGGAGGCCUGCAGUAUACUGGGAGAAAAAGGAGGC
This 380-nucleotide long non-coding RNA is filed under the name Struthio camelus australis. Its description in RNAcentral is "lncRNA (ENSSCUG00000007072.1)". The record is from RNAcentral. Lineage: Eukaryota; Metazoa; Chordata; Aves; Struthioniformes; Struthionidae.